This 255-nucleotide ribosomal RNA is filed under the name uncultured bacterium. Its description in RNAcentral is "partial 16S ribosomal RNA". It matches the Rfam family "Bacterial small subunit ribosomal RNA", at positions 524 to 776 of the family's 1533-position model. The record is from RNAcentral.
UACGAAGGGGGGCUAGCGUUGCUCGGAAUGACUGGGCGUAAAGGGCGCGUAGGCGGCUUGCACCGUCAGAUGUGAAAUUCCUGGGCUUAACCUGGGGGGCUGCAUUUGAUACGUGUGGGCUUGAGUGUGGAAGAGGGUCGUGGAAUUCCCAGUGUAGAGGUGAAAUUCGUAGAUAUUGGGAAGAACACCGGUGGCGAAGGCGGCGACCUGGUCCGUGACUGACGCUGAGGCGCGAAAGCGUGGGGAGCAAACAGG